Molecule: ribosomal RNA, 525 nt
Filed under: uncultured bacterium
Lineage: Bacteria
Description: bacterial SSU rRNA
Rfam family: Bacterial small subunit ribosomal RNA
Source: RNAcentral
ACAUCCAGAGAACUUAGCAGAGAUGCUUUGGUGCCUUCGGGAACUCUGAGACAGGUGCUGCAUGGCUGUCGUCAGCUCGUGUUGUGAAAUGUUGGGUUAAGUCCCGNAACGAGCGCAACCCUUAUCCUUUGUUGCCAGCGGUUCGGCCGGGAACUCAAAGGAGACUGCCGGUGAUAAACCGGAGGAAGGUGGGGAUGACGUCAAGUCAUCAUGGCCCUUACGGCCAGGGCUACACACGUGCUACAAUGGCGCAUACAAAGAGAAGCGACCUCGCGAGAGCAAGCGGACCUCAUAAAGUGCGUCGUAGUCCGGAUUGGAGUCUGCAACUCGACUCCAUGAAGUCGGAAUCGCUAGUAAUCGUAGAUCAGAAUGCUACGGUGAAUACGUUCCCGGGCCUUGUACACGCCGCCCGUCACACCAUGGGAGUGGGUUGCAAAAGAAGUGGGUAGCUUAACCUUCGGGAGGGCGCUUACCACUUUGUGAUUCAUGACUGGGGUGAAGUCGUAACAAGGUAGGCGUAGCGAG